CUACACUGGCGGCACUUUGGUGCCCGCGCACGGUAUCGCACCGCGCGCAGUUAAACGGGAAGCAGGGAGCGAAGUCCGCCCGGACGAGCCAACCUGCGCUGUCCUCGCAACGGUACAACGACUGCAGUUCCUGCAAGCCGAUCCAUGCACACAUCGAGCCGGCUCUAUCGGCCGAUGCCGUGCGAAACGCCACUGCGCGCGAUGCGUGGGAAGGCGGGUCGGCCAGUCGUCAGCCCGGAUACCGGCCAGAGCCAGGAGGCAAGGU
Molecule: non-coding RNA, 265 nt
Filed under: Paraburkholderia sabiae
Lineage: Bacteria; Pseudomonadati; Pseudomonadota; Betaproteobacteria; Burkholderiales; Burkholderiaceae
Source: RNAcentral